UUUUCAUAUCAAUACGAUGAAACAAUAAAAAUCAUGACAUGUUAAUUAAGGUUUUAUUGUUAAUUUUAAAAAAGAAAAUUACGACAACUAUAAGAAGACGGAAGAAGUACGUGGCUAAUUAAAUAAGAUUAACAAUAAUUUUUCUAUUAGUGUACAUGGAUUUAUUUUUGUUCUUCGCAUAUCUUAACUCAAGUAACCAAAAAAAGUAAUAAUAAUUAAUCUACCACUAAGUUGAAAUUAAACUACAAAUAAAAUUUUAAAAAAAUUACACAAAGCACUUCAUUAACUUGUCAUUAAAACAUCACAAUUCUUCACAAAAUCUUGUAAAUUAAUUAAUCAUGCAAAGAGGCCACUAAUGUAUGAAUAAUUUUUCUUCACAUAUCCAACUCAUUUGACAAAUUAAUAAAGAUUAACCAAGCAUUAAUACUAGAAAUUAAAUAUAUUUUAAUCAAAAACACUUCCUUAAGUUGUCAUUAACCCUCCUAAUUACAACAUUUUGAAUCUUACUAGAGAUGAAUGAAACUUUGUCAUCAAACUAGACUAGACAAUUAAAAACAUCAAAAUUUUUUGUUAAAUAAAGAUAAAUUAAGCACUACAACUUGAAAUUAAACAGCAAAUAGACAUUAACAAAAUAAAAUAAAUAGAAAAUAGACAAAAAAAAAAUUCAUUAACUUGUCAUUAACCCUCCUUACAACAUUUUGAAUCAACCUAGAUAAUAAUUAAACUAGUCAUCAAGGAAAAUAACAUCAAAACUCUUAAAAUACUUUUAAAGAGUAAUAAACAUUAAUCUACCAUUAAGUUGAUUAAACUAAAACUAAACAAAAAUAAUAUACAAAACACUUCCUUGACUUAUCAUUAGUCCUCCUUACAUCAUUUUCAAAACUAGCAAAAUCAAAAUUAAAAUAAAACUAGUUAGCAACUAACCAUCUAAAAAACAUAAAAAUUGUUAUAAUUUUUUUUUUUUGGGGGGGGGGGGUAAGUGAUGAUAAAUAUUACUAACAAAAAAAACCAAAGUUACCAUUAUCAAAAUUAAGUGCAUAACUUAAAGGAUCAUAAUGAAAACUCAACUUGUUGUUACUCUUCUUGUUCUUCUUUUGAUUCAAGAAUUCACUUCUCAAUUUCAAGAAAAUGUUCCUCAACUUUUUUUUUCUAUACAAAAAUACCAAUCUUGAGUUGCAACACAUCUCAACUACAAACCCCAUCACUAGAAAAUAAUAUUAUGAUUUUUUUUUUUAUCAAAUUCAAGAAAAUGUAAUGUGUAAAAUGGGAGUUAUAAAGAAGAGAUAAAUAGGAAAAAUUUUGUUUUUUGUUUUUUUGUGGAUGUAUUUUAGGGUGUGUUUGGCUUACAAUGUAAGAGAGGGAGCAGAGUAUUGAGACAGAGUUUGAGAUAUUUGAGUGACUAAAGUAUUGUCAAAUGUCUAUCAUAUGGUAUACUAUGAAAAGUGAUUU
RNAcentral lists this long non-coding RNA (1449 nucleotides) under Solanum lycopersicum (tomato). RNAcentral describes it as "long non-coding RNA (SLYC_LNC001426)". Lineage: Eukaryota; Viridiplantae; Streptophyta; Magnoliopsida; Solanales; Solanaceae. The record is from RNAcentral.